This 268-nucleotide ribosomal RNA is filed under the name uncultured prokaryote. Its description in RNAcentral is "partial 16S ribosomal RNA". It matches the Rfam family "Bacterial small subunit ribosomal RNA", at positions 524 to 792 of the family's 1533-position model. The record is from RNAcentral.
UACGUAGGGGCGAGCGUUAUCCGGAAUUAUUGGGCGUAAAGAGCGCGCAGGUGGUUGAUUAAGUCUGAUGUGAAAGCCCACGGCUUAACCGUGGAGGGUCAUUGGAAACUGGUCGACUUGAGUGCAGAAGAGGGAAGUGGAAUUCCAUGUGUAGCGGUGAAAUGCGUAGAGAUAUGGAGGAACACCAGUGGCGAAGGCGGCUUCCUGGUCUGUAACUGACACUGAGGCGCGAAAGCGUGGGGAGCAAACAGGAUUAGAUACCCGGGUA